UUGGAGGGCAAGUCUGGUGCCAGCAGCCGCGGUAAUUCCAGCUCCAAUAGCGUAUAUUAAAGUUGUUGCAGUUAAAAAGCUCGUAGUUGAAUUUCGGGGUUAGCAGGUUGGUCGUGCCACUGGUAUGAACUGGCCUUGCUGAUUCCUCCCUCUUGAUGAGCCGUAAUGCCAUUAAUUUGGUGUUGCGAGGAAUCAGGACUGUUACUCUGAAAAAAUUAGAGUGUUUAAAGCAGGCAAGCGCUUGAAUACAUUAGCAUGGAAUAAUGAAAUAGGACGUUUGAUCUUAUUUUGUUGGAUUCUAAGAUUGACGUAAUGAUUAAUAGGGAUAGUUGGGGGCAUUAGUAUUCAAUUGUCAGAGGUGAAAUUUUUGGAUUUAUUGAAGACUAACUACUGCGAAAGCAUUUGCCAAGGAUGUUUUCAUUAAUCAAGAACGAAAGUUAGGGGAUCGAAGACGAUCGGAUACCGUCGUAGUCUUAACCAUAAACUAUGCCGACUAGGGAUCGGAUGAUGUUAAUUUUUUAAUGACUCAUUCGGCGCCUUACGGGAAAC
RNAcentral lists this ribosomal RNA (549 nucleotides) under uncultured Glomus. Its description in RNAcentral is "SSU rRNA". It matches the Rfam family "Eukaryotic small subunit ribosomal RNA", at positions 548 to 1098 of the family's 1831-position model. Lineage: Eukaryota; Fungi; Glomeromycota; Glomeromycetes; Glomerales; Glomeraceae. The record is from RNAcentral.